Non-coding RNA from Oryctolagus cuniculus (rabbit), 6933 nucleotides. The record is from RefSeq and is a predicted model, not a curated record. NCBI's taxonomy places the organism in Eukaryota, Metazoa, Chordata, Mammalia, Lagomorpha, Leporidae.
UUAAUUUCCAGUAGUUCCUUGUCACAAAAAUAGUUGAUUUGCUGAGCUGAAGGAAAAGAUUGAUCGUCGUUCUGGAAAGAAGUUGGAAGAUGGCCCUAAAUUCUUGAAAUCUGGUGAUGCUGCCAUUGUUGAUAUGGUUCCCGGCAAGCCCAUGUGUGUUGAGAGCUUCUCUGACUAUCCUCCUCUGGGUCGUUUCGCUGUCCAUGAUAUGAGACAGACGGUUGCUGUGGGUGUGAUCAAAGCAGUGGACAAGAAGGCUGCUGGAGCUGGCAAGGUCACCAAGUCUGCCCAGAAAGCUCAGAAGGCUAAAUGAAUAUUACCCCUAAUACCUGCCACCCCAGUCUUAAUCAGUGGUAGAAGAACGGUCUCAGAACUGUUUGUCUCAAUUGGCCAUUUAAGUUUAAUAGUAAAAGACUGGUUAAUGAUAACAAUGCAUCGUAAAACCUUCAGAAGGAAAGGAGAAUGUUUUGUGGACCAUUUUUUUUGUGCAUGGCAGUUUUAAGUUAUUAGUUUUUAAAAUCAGUACUUUUUAAUGGAAACAACUUGACCAAAAAUCUAUCACAGAAUUUUGAGACCCAUUAAAACAAAGUUUAAUGAGAAAAAAAAAGUUGAUUUUUAAAAUUCAUUUGUUUAUUUGAAAGGCAGAGUUUACAGAGAGAUGGAGGGAAAUGGGGAAGGUAGAGAGCUUCCACCAGUUCACUCCCCAAAUGGCCACAACAGCUGGAGCUAGGCCAGUCUGAAGCCAGGAGUUGGGAGCUUCUUCCUGGUCUCCCAUGCGGGUACAGGGGCCCAAGGACUUAGACCAUCUUCCGCUGCUUUCCCAGGCACAUUAGCAGGGAGCCAUAUUGGAAGUGGAGCAGCCAGGACUCAAACCACCACCCAUGUGGGACACCAGCAUAGCAGGUGGAGGCUUUACCUGCUACACCACAAUGCUCACCCCCAGUAGUUGAUUUUUGUAUAUAGCUCUCAUAUCCUUUGACUUUCUUAACCUCAUGUAUUCUAGUAGUUUAAAAUUCUUUUUGUUAAUAUAAAGAGAAUAGAUGUUAUGUAUUACAUAGGUACAGUUCUAAGAAGGUAAACAUACUUCCCUCCCUCCACUUUUCCCUCCAUCAGUCCCCUCCUUCCUUUAUUUUUUUCUUUAAUCUUUGCAGAUGCAUGCUUUCAAUCCACUCUGUAGUCAUAGGCUUAAUUCACACUAACCAUAAUAUUCAACAAGUAAAAAAUAGGAAGACCAGAGUUCUACAAUAGUAUAAACAAGGGCUAAAAGCAACAAUCAUAUCACAAGAUGUUUGUUUCAUUCCUAUAAAUUUUUGAUAUUCUAUAUUAACAACCACAUAUCAGAGAAAACAUGAUAUUUGUCUUUUUCAGACUGGCUUAGUUCACUAAGCAUGAUGGUUUCUAGUUGCAUCCAUUCUGUUGUGAAAGGCAGGAUCUCAUUCUUUUUUAUGGCUGAGCACCAUUUCAUAGUGUACACACACACACACACACACACACACAUAUCACAUUUUCUUUAUCCAGUCAUCAGUUGAUGGAUAUCUGUAUUGAUUCUAGUAGUUUUAUACUUUGGGAUUAUCUGCACCAAAAAUUUUAGCAUCUGAGUGAAAACAGUUUUCUUUGUUUUUUCCUAUUUGUCUUUUAUUUUUACUUGCCUUGCUGUUAUGGUGACUAGAAACUCCAGUAACUACUGAAUAGGAGUAUCUUGUUCCUAGUCUUAGAGGUAGAAUAUUGUCUUUUACCAUUAAAUAUGAUGCUAGAGUAGUUUUUUUUUUAGCUUUGUUAUUUUAAGUUUAAUUUCACUUUAUUGGAGAGAGAGAGAGAGAGACAGGUACCCAUCUUCCAUCUCCUAGUUUACUCCUCAAGUGCUCACAACAGUAGGAGUGGGUCAGACUGAAGCCAGGAGCGUGAAACUCAAGCUAAGUAAACUCAAGCUGAGUCUCUCAUAUGGGAGGCAGGAACCCGAGUACUUGAGCCAUUAUCUGUUUAUUAUCAAUCAUAUUUAUAUCAUGACUAGAUGUUGAAUUUUGUUAGGAACUUUAUCAGCAUCUAUUGAGAUAAUUAUGUUUUAUUUCUUGAUGUGGUAAAUUAUAUUGCUUUUUGACCACUGAACGAGCCUUGCUUUUCUAGGAUCAACCUCAUUUGUUGAGGAUGUUUCAUUUUUAUAUAUUGAUGAAAUUGAGUCUCAGAUACAUUUAUUAAGGACUUUUGUAUCUUUGUGAGGGAUGUUAAGCUGUGGUCUUUUCUAUAUUUGUUAAGAUCAGGAUAAUGCUAGUCUUAUUUGAUUUAAUUAAUUUCUAAUUUAAUUGGGUUGAUUUUUAUUUUCUUUAAGAGAAUGUAUCAAACUGAUACAUGUUGAUCCUUUAAAUGUUGGAAGAACUUGCUGAUAAAAUAUCUAAAGCCUUAGGUAUUUGUUUCAUGGGAAGUUUUAAAUUAUGGAUUCAUUUUCAUUAGUAGUCAAUAGGUUUGCUUAGGUCAUCUACUUCAUUUUUGAAGAGUUUGGAGAGUUUAUGGUUAUUAAGGAAUUUCUCCAUUUUAUAUAAGUUGUCAAAUUUGUAUACAUGGAGCCAUUAACAGUAUUACUACCUUAUUUACUCUUACCAUCUUAAAUGUCAGUAGUAAUAUUCCUGCUUUCAUUCCUGGUAUAUGUCUUGAUUUGUACUUUCCAUCUUUUUUUUUUGACACUGAAACUACUGAAAACUAUUUUUACACUGGAAGUUGUUGAAGCAUUCUGUAUCUUUUUGCAUCCAAUUUGGUGGUAUAAUUCUAGCAAUUCUCAGAAAAAUAAACCUUCCAUCUUUUUUUGCCUUUUGGCAGUUUUUCACAGGAAUAUUUAUUAGUUUCAUUGAUUUCUCUAUUUUUAAUUAAUUUCCACUGCAUUGUUUUCUUUCUGUUUUUUCUAGCUUUACUUUGCACCAGUUACUGAUUUGACUUUUGUUUCAAUGGAAGCCAUCUGUACCACAAUUUUGCCUCUAAGCACUGUUGCAUCCCACAAAUUUAGAAACAUGAUGUCUUCAUUUUCCUGCAGUUCAAAAUAUUUUCUUACUCACUUUGACAUUUAUCCAUGGAUAAUUUAGAGCUGUUUACUUUUCAAAUGGUUAGAGAUUAUCCUUCUGUUACUGAUUUUUAGUUAACUUGCCUUAUAUUUGGAGAGCACGUUUAUUUUCUUUUUUAAAAAGUUUAUUUGAAAAGCAGAGACAGAAAGAGAGACAGACAUACAGAGUUCUCCCAUCUACUAGUUCAUGCUCAGUUCUCCCAUGUUGGGGGCAGGACCCAACCACUUGAACCAAUCACCUGCUGCCUUUUAGGUUGUGCAAGAGUGAAAACCUGAAAUUGAGGGUGGAGCCAGAACAAAAACUUACUUGCUCUGAUAUGGAUAUGGACAUAUAUUUUUAUUGGACAGGCAGAGACAGAGACAGAGAUCAUCCAUCUACUGUUUGAUUUCCCAAGUGACUGCAACCGCUGGUACUGGGUCAGGCCAGAACAGAGAGCCAGGAGUCAGGAACUCAGUCCAGGUCUCCCAUGUGGGUGCCAGGGGUCCAAGUACUUGAGCCAACACCUGCUGCCUCUCAGAGUGGGCAUUUGCAGCAACUUGGAAUUAGAAGCCAAGCUGGGACUUGAACCCAGGUACUCAUCUAUGGGAUGCAGGUGUUCUGAGCAGUGUCUUAAUUGCUGUGCCAAAUGCCAGCCCCAGCCUGCCCUUUUUCUGUUCUUUUAAAUCGAGUUUCUUAAAUCUGUAGGUUCAUGUCUUUUACCAAAUUUGGGAUAAGUUCAGUUUUAUUUAUUCAAAUAUCUUUUCUGCCCUACACCCUUCCUUCUGUGACUUUAAUGACAAAAAAGUAAAAUCUAUUAAUUGUCCCACAGAUCCUUGAAUGGACUAUGUUAAUUUCUUUUCUUUUCAUCAAUCUUUUUUCUGUUUAUCAUUCAGAUUGAUUGGUUUCUGUUGAUCUGUGGCCAAGUUAAACCUAUUAUCUCAAAUAUUGGUAUUUAGAUUGAUCUCAUGUUUUUAAAAAUUGUGGUUAUUGAAUCUUUCCAGUUCUAAAAUUUCCAUUUCAUUCUGCCUUUUUUUUUUUUUUUUUUUUUUUUUUACAGGCGGAGUGGACAGUGAGAGAGAGAGACAGAGAGAAAGGUCUUCCUUUGCCAUUGGUUCAUCCUCCAAUGGGUGCCGUGGCUGGCACGCUGCGCUGAUCUGAAGGCAGGAGCCAGGUGCUUCUCCUGGUCUCCCAUGGGGUGCAGGGCCCAAGCACUUGGGCCAUCCUCCACUGCACUCCCGGGCCACAGCAGAGAGCUGGCCUGGAAGAGGGGCAACCGGGACAGAAUCCAGUGCCCCGACCGGGACUAGAACCCAGUGUGCCGGCGCCGCAAGGUGGAGGAUUAGCCUAUUGAGCUGUGAUGCCAGCCUUCAUUUUUCUUUAAAUGUGCUUUUCCUUGAUAAGACUCUCCCCUCCACCUCAGGUGUUUGCCCUUACUUUUUGGAGAUUUUUUUGGUGCAUUCUCUUAAAAUCUUUUCCUAUGAACUAACUUCUGUGUCAUUUUUCCAUUGGUGUCUGCUGUGCGUGAAUUGAGGUUUCUCCCUAGGUGUUGAGUAAGUUUGAAUCGUGUCUUAAACACUUGAACAGUGUUAUGAGAUUCUAGAUCUUGUUUAAAACCUGUGGAGAAUACUGAGUUUCAGACCGCUAGGUUUAACCAGCUGCCUUUGGAUUGUGGUUUCAGUGGCACUUCUGCUUCCAAAGCCUUGCUGUGCCGUGCUGUUCAGAUCUGUUUCGAGUGUGUUCCUGCCAGAGGCUGGUUUCCGACCUGGUCAUUGGUCAUCAUUUAUUUUUCAGUCUUUGCAGUGCUAUUUAGCAGCAAGUAAGUGCUGCUCAGGUGUGGCCCCUGGAAUCGCCAUACAGGUUCAUGGAAUCACUUUCCUGAGUCCUGGUGGUUGACCGUUUUCCUGUUAUCUUCUGUUGUGUUGGGCCCCUUUUUUCUUUUCUUCCACCUCUAAGACUGAUUUUUCAUUUUUCCUGUUCUGUUAUAUACUUCCUAAAACUAAUGCAAAGCAGUGCAUGUUUGCAUUGUCUGUGAUUCUGUGGAGUUCCUGCUGUCCAGUGCCAGGUGUACCAGUCUUUUGCAUUCAUUUGAGAGGCAGAGAGGAAAAGAGAGGGGGAGAGAGAGAAAGUGAGAGAGUUUUUGUCUGUGUUGUUCCCCAACUGUCCACAAUGGCCUAAGCUGGGGCCAAAGCUCAGAGUUGGUAAUUCAGUCCCUGUCUCUCAUGGGGGUGGCAGAAACUAAUCAGUUGAGACAUUACUGUUGCCUGCCCCAGAAGUUUGGUUAUCAAACUCAGGUACUCAAAUAUGGGAUGCAGGCAUUUUAACUAAUAGCAUAGCUGCUAGGCUGAGCGCAUGCCCCAGAUAUACCAGUCUUAACUGUAGACCCUGAAAUGUCCAUGCAUGUGGUUUACGUGCUCACCAGUCAGUGCAGACGGAACAUUUCCAGCUUCCUGGUAAGUUCCCUCAUGUUCCCCCUCUCCCUGCAUCAGCCGCUCUUCUGAUUUCUAGCACCAUGUCUGUUCUCAGACUUGACAUAAACAGAUCCUGAAAAGGGUGUUCUCACGUAUCUAGUAUUUUAGUCAAGGGAUUUUGUGGCCCAGCCUGGUGUAUUAUUUAAUAUGACUGUUUCAGACUCUGUUACACUCAAAACACCUAAACCAAAGCAGAUUCAGUUUUUUAAUUUAUAUUUUUCUUAGCUGUGAAAGUCUUAAAAUUCUUUGAAAUUUUCCAUAUUCCUUUUCCCAGUCAUUCAGUGAGUGUCUCCCUCAUUCAUUUACACUGUGUCUGUUACUUAUUCUCACAGGUUCAUCUUCUCCCAACUUCCUUUUCCUUCUUCCACAUUUCCUUCUGCCAGCACAGAGAUGAAAAGGAGAGUAAUAACUUCUUAUAUCCUAUUUGUUCUUUGCCAUGCUAACAUGUAGUUUGGGAAAAUUCAGGUUGAACCGAGUGUCUGUAGUUAGGGUACUAAUGGGGUGUUUUUCUCCCUUCUUUCUGACAGCAUGAUGGAAGUGGUUCAUUACAUGACAUUCAACUAUAAUUGCCAUCCAGUCCAGAACCAGAAGAUGGUAAUCAAAUAUGUAAGAAUGAAGAUUAAUUAAAUGAAAUUAAACAACUUAAAGAAGAAAGAAAGAAAAAAGAUGAAAAAAUCCAACUAUUAGAACAUCAGCUUGCAACUUGGUGUAACUGCCACCAAAAAUCUAAAGAGGAAAAAUGCACUUACACUGACAAAUACACCCAGACUCCCUGGAGAAGAAUUCCUGGUGUCAGUGCCGCCACCACACUCAGGCCUUGAAGAAUGGGGAGGUGACCAGGACCCACUGGGUCAGGCACGGUGUGCAGCAGGGAUGUGGAGAGAAUGGCUGAGGUCCUGCAGCCACAGGCCAUGUCCUGGUGGUGACCCUGAAUGAGACCAGCCAGGAGAGCUGACAGAGGAAAGAGCACAAGUCUGAGUUGCAGGCAGAGGUAGGUUUGCAUUCUGUCUGUCACUGUUACUGGAUGUUACCCACACCUUCUGGGCCUCAGUAUUCUCAUCUGAAAUAUGGGCUGAUAAAUAAGAGCCUCCAAGCACUGCACUGAAAACAUCAAGUAAGGCACCAUGGAACAGAUAGCAUAGACGGUGUAAAAAGUAAAUAUACGGGGCCGGCACUGUGGCACAGCCCAUAUGGGCACCGGUUCAAGUCCCGGCUAUUCCACUUCCGAUCCAGCUCUCUGCUAUGGCCUGGGAAAGCAGUAGAAGAUGGCCCAACUCCUUGGGCCCCUGCACCUGCAUGGGAGACCCGGAAGAAGCUUCUGGUUCCUGGCUUCAGAUCAGCACAGCUCUGGCCAUUGUGGCCAACUGGGGAGUGAACCAGCGGAUGGAAGACCUCUCUCUGUCUCUACCUCUCUCUGCCUCUCCUCUCUCUGUGUA